This is a long non-coding RNA of Homo sapiens (human), 1650 nucleotides long. RefSeq lists it as uncharacterized. Lineage: Eukaryota; Metazoa; Chordata; Mammalia; Primates; Hominidae. The record is from RefSeq and is a predicted model, not a curated record. The transcript is spliced from 3 exons.
GCCUGGGGAGGAAACAAGAGGCCUGGCCUGAGCACUUGGGCUGCAGGAGCAAGUGCAGCCUGACACAGGCCCCAGAUGCUCUCACCUGCCCUGUUUGGGGGCCGUGGAGGGCCAACGACCCACUCCCCACAAUCUACCCAUGACAGGUAAAAGCAUCAAACUGUAGGGAAACAAUCGGAGACCACGACGCAUUCAUCAGCAGAGGAACGUCUCGUGAGUGGGACUCUGCAGCAUGGAAUACUACGCCGAGAUUUUCAAAAUACAAGUUCGUGACAUACUACAGAAGUAAACGCCAACCUGCAGAAUAUGUACAGUGCGCUACCAUUUUUGUCAAAGGAUGUGCCAAUAGUACACGCUCCUUCACUAGGGACACCUACACGCUGGGAGAGCUCCCGCCUGUCUUGAAGGAGGCAGGAGGUCUACAUGCUCAGCUGUCUGCCUGUGACUGGCAUGGGGUGACUGGAAUCGGGGUGGGCCCAGCCCGGCUAGGCUUCAGUCUCCUUGCUGGAAACAGAUGAAGGCACAGAAAGGACAAUGCCAAGACUUGGACCUGGACAGCCUGGGCGCGCACACUGCCUCCUGGACAGCCUGGGCGCGCACACUGCCUCCUGGACAGCCUGGGCAUACACACUGGUCCCCCCAUGGAAGCUGCGCUACAGUAUACUGGCUCACAAGCCAAGCCCCAGCUCCUGACCCUCGAUGAUCAGGACCCCACCGUCCUAUCCUGCUACACCCACUAUCUCAGCCCUGCAGCUGGUGGCACUGUCUCCUGCAGAGUGGACACCUCUCUCCUCUCUGCUGCAUCCUGCCCAGCUUCCUAAGCACACAGGCAGAUGCAUGCUCCUCCUAAAGCACCUCCUGAAGCCCUUCCUGCAGCUGUUAGCCCCCCUGCCUGGUCCAGGUCUCAGCUUAAACAUCACCCCCUCUCAGACCUUCCUGGGCCUGUCUCCCAGGUCAGGUCAGAUGCCCCUCGGUGGGCCCACCGCAACCUUCCCUGCAGCUGCCCCAGCAGGGAAGCUUCCUAAAGGGUGGAACCAGGCUGCAUUCACCCAACCAGUCUUUCUACUUGUGCAGAAAGUACACCAGUCUAUGCCUUGUGAGGACAAACGGGGACAGAAACUGAGGGCCUGCGGGGGGGAUGAAGAUGGAGACCCAGAGAGAGCAAGCAACAAGUGCAACCAAGAGAAAGGAAAAGAGACCCAGAGAAACAGAGCUUUGGAGGGAACAAGAGAGGAGGGCAUUCUUCGGGAAACAGGCAGACCCAGUGGAAUGGUCUGAGCUAAGAUUUGAAGGAGUGGCUGCAGAGGAAUAAGGACUUCGGGACAAUUCACUUUGAAAAGUGAAACAGUGACCCUCCGGUGGCAGUCAAUUGGCCUCAGGCAGGUAACAGAAAUGGGGAGGAAAGGGUAUGGGGCUCUUGAGAAAACUUCCACUUAGAUGAGAACGUAUUUUAGAAUGUUCUGAAGGGCAAAGCAGGGAGGCUGAUGUAGUUUCCUUGCUGGAAAGAAGUGGGGGUGUAACACCCGAGGGAGAUGGAGGAUAGCGCUUGGCCAUUCCCAGCAGCAAGGGCGGGGGGUUCAGAACCCACCGAUGCGGGGGUGAGGCGCCUGCGCCUCUCUGUUUCAAAAGGCUGCCAUCCCAACCCUGCCG